CUCAACACGUGACACGAGCUUCCAAUAACAACGGAUUUUGUGUUUGAGCAAUGCCAAGAAAACGCAAAGGGGCUGAUUUGAGCCGCAGUACAAGUAAAGCUCGAAACUUGCAAAAUAGCAGAUCCGAAAAAACAGAAAAACAAAUCCAGCAACAAAAUACUGAUGCACGUGUCAGAAUGGCGCAAUUGCAUCAAGAAGAGCCAGAAGAUACACGAGCUGAACGCAAUGAAGUCAGAA
Molecule: long non-coding RNA, 237 nt
Filed under: Cotesia glomerata
Lineage: Eukaryota; Metazoa; Arthropoda; Insecta; Hymenoptera; Braconidae
Description: uncharacterized LOC123261657
Source: RNAcentral